CUUGGAGAUGUCACCUCUUCGAGGUGUCACAUCCUGCUGUCACCUCCUGAUGUCACCAACUGGGCCACAGUGAGCAAAGGGACACCGUGGGGCGCUGUGACCCCGAUGUCACCUCGUGUCACCAGAUGGGUGACAGCCACCACUGAUGUCACCUCCUGGAGGUGUCACCCCUUCGAGAUGUCACCUCCUGGAGGUGUCACAUCCUGGUGUCACCUCCUGAUGUCACCAACUGGGCCACAGAGAGCAGAGGGACACCGUGGGGCGUUGUGACCCCGAUGUCACCUCGUGUCACCUCACACCCCUCUCAAUGCCACCACAACUGUCCCCAAAUGUCCCUAUUGGGAACGUUGAAGGUCCGAGUGUCACCUUUGUCACCUCCUGCUCCCCGCAGUGUCCCCGACUGGCACGUGGUGGAGGUGGAGGUGACCGGCAGAGGUGACAAAGGUGACAAAGGCAGAGCCCUGCGUGUCACCAGCACCCGAAGGAACCCCGCGGCCACCGGCGCUGUCACCGGCGAGGCCACCAAGGCUGCCUUCUGGAGCAGCGUCCUGGGUGGGCUUUUGUCACCUAAUGUCACCUCCUGUCACCUUGUCACCUCCUGUCACCUGUCACUGUGUCACCUCCCGUCCCCUCCUGUCAUUGUGUCACCUCCUGUCACCUCCUGUCACUGUAUCCCCUCCUGUCAGUGCGUCACCUCCUGUCCCCUCCUGUCACCAUGUCACCUCCUGUCCCCUCCUGUCAUUGUGUCACCUCCUGUCCUCUCCUGUCACCAUGUCCCCUCCUGUCCCCUCCUGUCACCGUGUCACCUCUGGUCACCGUGUCACCUCUUGUUGUUGUGUCACCUCCUGUCCCCUCCUGU
RNAcentral lists this long non-coding RNA (859 nucleotides) under Phasianus colchicus (ring-necked pheasant). RNAcentral's name for it is "lncRNA (ENSPCLG00000017180.1)". Lineage: Eukaryota; Metazoa; Chordata; Aves; Galliformes; Phasianidae. The record is from RNAcentral.